This 89-nucleotide microRNA precursor is filed under the name Tupaia belangeri (northern tree shrew). RNAcentral describes it as "miRNA (ENSTBEG00000019911.1)". Lineage: Eukaryota; Metazoa; Chordata; Mammalia; Scandentia; Tupaiidae. The record is from RNAcentral.
UGUGUAUAUAUAUGUGUGUGUUUCUCCAUCUUGUAAGGGUUUUGGACGCAGACACACACACACACACACACACACACACACACACACAC